Molecule: ribosomal RNA, 232 nt
Filed under: uncultured bacterium
Lineage: Bacteria
Description: partial 16S ribosomal RNA
Rfam family: Bacterial small subunit ribosomal RNA
Source: RNAcentral
AGUAAUACAUAAGUAACCUGCCCUAGACAGGGGGAUAACUAUUGGAAACGAUAGCUAAGACCGCAUAGGUACGGACACUGCAUGGUGACCGUAUUAAAAGUGCCUCAAAGCACUGGUAGAGGAUGGACUUAUGGCGCAUUAGCUGGUUGGCGGGGUAACGGCCCACCAAGGCGACGAUGCGUAGUCGACCUGAGAGGGUGACCGGCCACACUGGGACUGAGACACGGCCCAG